RNAcentral lists this non-coding RNA (22 nucleotides) under Arabidopsis thaliana (thale cress). Lineage: Eukaryota; Viridiplantae; Streptophyta; Magnoliopsida; Brassicales; Brassicaceae. The record is from RNAcentral.
UACCUGGUGAUGAUAUCUAUGC